Molecule: ribosomal RNA, 922 nt
Filed under: uncultured Gammaproteobacteria bacterium
Lineage: Bacteria; Pseudomonadati; Pseudomonadota; Gammaproteobacteria
Description: bacterial SSU rRNA
Rfam family: Bacterial small subunit ribosomal RNA
Source: RNAcentral
CCUUCGGGCGCCGACGAGUGGCGGACGGGUGAGUAACGCGUAGGAAUCUGCCUCAUAGUGGGGGACAACGUGGGGAAACUCACGCUAAUACCGCAUACGCCCUACGGGGGAAAGCGGGGGCUCUUCGGACCUCGCGCUAACAGAUGAGCCUGCGUGGGAUUAGCUAGUUGGUAGGGUAAAGGCCUACCAAGGCGACGAUCCCUAGCUGGUCUGAGAGGACGAUCAGCCACACUGGGACUGAGACACGGCCCAGACUCCUACGGGAGGCAGCAGUGGGGAAUAUUGGACAAUGGGCGCAAGCCUGAUCCAGCAAUACCGCGUGUGUGAAGAAGGCCUGAGGGCUGUAAAGCACUUUCAAUGGGGAGGAAAACCUGUCGGUCAAUACCCGGCAGCUUGACAUUACCUUUAGAAGAAGCACCGGCUAACUCCGUGCCAGCAGCCGCGGUAAUACGGAGGGUGCGAGCGUUAAUCGGAAUUACUGGGCGUAAAGCGUGCGUAGGCGGUUGAUUAAGUCAGAUGUGAAAGCCCCGGGCUUAACCUGGGAACGGCAUUUGAUACUGGUUAACUAGAGUUGAGUAGAGGGGAGUGGAAUUUCAGGUGUAGCGGUGAAAUGCGUAGAUAUCUGAAGGAACACCAGUGGCGAAGGCGACUCCCUGGACUCAAACUGACGCUGAGGUACGAAAGCGUGGGUAGCAAACAGGAUUAGAUACCCUGGUAGUCCACGCCGUAAACGAUGUCAACUAACCGUUGGGUUCUUAAAGAACUUAGUGGUGGAGCUAACGUAUUAAGUUGACCGCCUGGGGAGUACGGCCGCAAGGCUAAAACUCAAAUGAAUUGACGGGGGCCCGCACAAGCGGUGGAGCAUGUGGUUUAAUUCGAUGCAACGCGAAGAACCUUACCUACCCUUGACAUGCAUAGAAUC